AAACCAAACCAAACGGUCGCGCGGCAUAAGAUCGAAAGGUAAUGCCGUGAGGAAAGUCCGAGCUUCACAGGGCAGGAUAACUGAUAACGUCAGCCGGAGGCGACUCCCGGGCAAGUGCAACAGAAAUAUACCGCCGAACUUUUUCGGUAAGGAUGGAAAGGCGAGGUAAGAGCUCACCCAAAGCAUAGGUAACUAUGCUUUGCUGUAAACCCUAUCCGAAGCAACACCGCAUAUGGAUCGUUCGCCCGACACAUAUCCAUGGGUGGCACGGAGCUAUGCUCCGAAGCUGUCUGGUGACAGGCAGCGAAGAUAGAUGACCGUUCUCGACAAAACUCGGCUUAUAGGUUUGAUUUGCAA
This 357-nucleotide RNase P RNA is filed under the name Clostridia bacterium. RNAcentral describes it as "RNase P RNA component class A". It matches the Rfam family "Bacterial RNase P class A". From Rfam's summary of the family: Ribonuclease P (RNase P) is a ubiquitous endoribonuclease, found in archaea, bacteria and eukarya as well as chloroplasts and mitochondria. The record is from RNAcentral. Lineage: Bacteria; Bacillati; Bacillota; Clostridia. RNAcentral also lists the same sequence under 1 other name.